RNAcentral lists this ribosomal RNA (253 nucleotides) under uncultured bacterium. RNAcentral describes it as "partial 16S ribosomal RNA". It matches the Rfam family "Bacterial small subunit ribosomal RNA", at positions 524 to 776 of the family's 1533-position model. The record is from RNAcentral.
UACAGAGGUCCCAAGCGUUGUUCGGAUUCACUGGGCGUAAAGGGUGCGUAGGUGGUCAGGUAAGUCUGAUGUGAAAGCUCUGGGCUUAACCCAGAAAUGGCAUUGGAUACUAUCUGGCUUGAGGAGUGGAGGGGGGACUGGAAUACUUGGUGUAGCAGUGAAAUGCGUAGAUAUCAAGUGGAACACCAGUGGCGAAGGCGAGUCCCUGGACACUUCCUGACACUGAGGCACGAAAGCUAGGGGAGCAAACAGG